UAUUGAAGAAGUCAUUUUCGGCUCUAGGAGAAUAUUAUGUUACUUCUGAGAGAACUUAAAUAUUAAAAAUACUUAAGUAUUUUUUCUUUUAUGUCUGUCAAAAUAGGAGUGGAUUACCUUAAUCAAGUUAGACGCAAAGACUACUUGUAGCUGGACUUCAGUUUUUGUUAGGGCUAGAUAUGUCUCUAGAUGACCUUUACUCUUUGUAGAGAACCCUUCUGGUUCCAACCAGAACCCUGGGUGUUCAUUCAGGCCCCUCCUCUUUGGAGGACUCUGACCUCUAAUUUUUUUCCUUAAACUCCAUGACACUGCCAGAAGCUCUCCUGACUUCUUGGUCAUACUUUUUGCUUAAGAAAUUGACAAUGCUCUUGAGAGGAACAGGCAGCUCCAGUUGCUGGGCUCAUCUUCUUAGUUUUCUUUCUUCAGGUCAUGGCCUCACAAAUUCUUACUGUCUUGAUUGCUUUCCAAUGCUUUCAAACAUGUUUAACAAACUGUUUUUAGUAUUUCCAGUUGCUCUCAGCAGGAGGGUGAUUCUAAAACAUCUAGUUAGCCAUUGCCAGAAGUAGAACCACAGAGCAUUGGCUUUGAAAGAAGAUGGAUCCAUCUUUUAUAGCCUUGGUUUGCUCUUAAAAUGUUUUAGAAAAGACAUAUCCUGAGUUUCUUUGUGGUCUAGGUAGAGGUGAAGAAAAGUAAAACUUUCAGUGUAUUUAAAAAGUAGAAUUAACCUGUGGUUAGCUUUAGAUAGAGAUGAGAGCGGAGGAUUCAAAGCUAAUGGCCAGGAUCUGGUCUAGGCAUCUGGAUGUCCAGUCACUAGGAUAAGUAGAGGGGGAGUGACACUGGAGCCUAAAGUCACCACAGCAACAGAAUGAUAUUCACCACAACCUAGUUAUGUAAAACUCUAGACAGAGGGAAAUAAAUCCAGGCAGAUACCUUGAAAUAUGCAAUGGACCCAAAAAGAAGCUUUACCUGGAGGAAAACUUCCUGUGACUCCAGAGACCUCUUCAGUUUAGAAAGCAGGAAGUAGCUUGUAUCUGUCAGUAUGACACUUUUGAACAUUUCUGUAUUAGUUUCCUAAGGUGCUAUAACAAAGCUCCACAAACUGUGUGGCUUAAGACGACAAGAAUCUAUCCUGUCACAGUUCAGAAGGGUAGUACUGAAAUCAAGGCAUGGCUGGGCUAUGCUCACUUUAAAGGCUAAGGGAAGACCUCUUUCUUGCCUCUUCCUGGCUUUUUGUGGUUGCAGGAUUUUUGGUGGCAAGCAUCACCCUGGUCUUCACCUUUGUCCUACCUCACCUUCCUCAUGUGUCUACCUCUGUGUCUUUACGUGGCCUUAUAAGGAUACCAGUUGUGGAAGUUGGACCUCCAUCCUCCUACCCCCAAUCCAUUAUGACCUCAUCUUAAUGAAUUACAUCUGUAAAGACCCUCAUUUCCAAAUGAACUUACAUACACAAGUCCCAGGGGUUAGGACUACAAAAUACCUUUUUGACAGAUGCAACUCAACCCACAAUUUCUAGCUUAUCACUGUGUGAAACUUACUGCUCUUUGCAAAGAUUAAAUCAACAUGUGGUGCACUUAUGGAGCUGUUGCUUCUCACAAAGCACUGGGGGGGUCUAAAAGGUAGCACAGCACACAGUCUCUGUCCUAGACAACUUUACUGUCCAACUGGGGAGACAAAGAGUGAUGCAGAAUUCAGGCAGAAGAUAAGCUUUGGUUGGCCGCCUACCAUGUACCAGAUACUGCAGUGAGUGCUGUACAUAUAUUGAACCACAUAAUCAUCAGAGUAGCUUGCUAGAUUGGUGGUGUUCACCUUAUAUUACAGAUAAGGGAACUGAAGAUCAGUAGGAAUAAAUAACUAAUAUUAAGUGGUGCUAUCAGGAUUUGAAUCUAGAUUUGCUGUGUUCUAAAGCCUGUGGUUUUGGGGAAGAAACUGAAUUAUGUAAAAUAAAAUCUUAAAGCUGUUUGAAAUUAAUCCUAAGAGAGUUAGAGUGAGAGCUGGGUGUGGUAGCAUGCAAUUGUAGUCCCAGCUACUGAGGAGGCUGAAGUGGGUGGAUCCCUUGAGCCCAGGAGUUCGAGACCAACCUGUGCAAUGUAGUGAGACUGUCUCAAAACAAACAAAUGAACAAACAGGACAAGGAAGGCUUAUUGAGGAAGAAGAGAUUUGAAGAGAAAUGAUCUGAAUUGUAUUUUUAAGAAAGGGUUGGCCCGGUGGAAAAGAGUCAACAAAAUGAUUCCAGGUGAUGGGAGCUAUGUGAACCAAGGUAUGAUAAGAAAGUAUCAGAUAUAUUUAGGAGAACAUAUAUUUUAUAAUACUGCAUAUAAGAGAUGUGCUUUAUAUAAUUAUAGCCUCAUUCUUCACAUGGAGACCUUGAAGCAAGAAAACAAACAUUUUUAACUCUGCGGCUCACAUGGUAAGGUAUGGGUAAAGCUGAGCUUUCUGCCAAUUUAUCUUUUUUUCAUUCCUGUUCAGAAAUAAUUAUUUUCCAUUUAAAAAGUAAUAAUUCAAUUUCAAAAGGAUCAAAGCAUAGAGAAAAAAAUUUCACAUAUUCCUAUCAUGCAAAUAUGACUAAAGUUAACAUUUUGGUCUGUUCCUUCCAGUCUUAUAAUUUGCAUCAGUAGCACACGUAACACAUGAACCAAGUGGGUAAUCACACGUUAAGCUAAUGGGUAUGUGCGAUUUUGUGCUUCUCUAGCCUAAGCACUAAUCUGUGCCAUAAUAUGUCAUCAUUAUCUAGUUUUAAAGGGGGAAUAAUAAUCUUUUUUUUUUUUUUUUUAAUUUUUUAUUGGAUUAUAGGUUUUGGGGUACAUGAGCAGAGCAUACAAGACAGUUGCGUAGGUACACACAUGGCAGUGUGCUUUCUUUUCUUCUCCCCUUCACCCACAUUUGGCUUUUCUCCCCAGGCUAUCCCUCCCCACCUCCCCCUCCCACUGGCCCUCCCCUUUUCCCCCCAAUAGACCCCAGUGUUUAGUACUCCCCUUUCUGUGUCCAUGUGUUCUCAUUUUUCAUCACCCGCCUAUGAGUGAGAAUAUGCGGUGUUUCAUUUUCUGUUCUUGUGUCAGUUUGCUGAGGAUGAUGUUCUCCAGAUUCAUCCAUGUCCCUACAAACGACACAAACUCAUCAUUUCUGAUUGCGGGAAUAAUAUUCUAAGUGGCUAAGUACCAUAAUUUGCUGAUUUAGGGUUUGUCAUUAACAGCAAAUUUACUUAUUUAGGGUUUGUCAUUAACAGCAAAAAAUUCCUGGAUCAAAAUACAUGACCUGUGUUACAACUCCUAUUAUAUAUAUGGUUUUCUUGAAGGUCAAUAUUGAUUUUGGUGCAUAUAGACUGGGAUUCUUGGGUUGUUGUAAAAGUUCUAUAUCGUUGAACUACAGAGAGAGAGAAGGGGAUUUCUGACAAUCAGGGCCAGUAUUUCUUCACCUCUAGACCACAGCCCUAUUCUCCUGUCUGCCUGGCUUUGCAACACCACCCUGAUCCUGAGAGCUUUGUCGAUGCCAGGGGUAUUCAGAAAUGUUCGACUUGAAACCUUUCCAAGACGUUUGCUAUUUUAUUCUCUAUUUGUUUUUCUUAAGCAACUAACUAAAUAAGAAUCAUAUUUCAACCUCCUUCCACUCCCCACAGCAUUUUUUCUUCCCUGCACCACCCCUGCCUGCAGUUUAACCAUGGGGUUGCUUCUUAUAUUUUAAAGCUAAAUACAAAAGCACAGUUCUGAGAAGCAGCCAAGUUCUGCAGCCAAGUUGGAAGAAUAGAACUUUAAAACGGCUCUUCUGUCACACACUUGAGAGGGGAGGCAGGCUUUGCUAUAAAUAAGUCACAUUCCAUUUCUAUCUCAUCCUUUGCAGUCCUCUUGGGUAAUCUUUUUGUAUAUGACUACAGUGUUCUCGAACUGCCCACUCACCCCUUUCAACCUUCCAUUUCAUGCCUCACUUUAUUUAAACGUUCAGUAGUUUUGGAGCCUAGGGACCCUGCAUGAAAGAGGAGUAAACCAUUCUUCAGGGUUAGAUGUAAUGAGGUUCAGUGGCUAACUUAUUAGAAACUACACUUUCUCUUUGUCUGUAACGCUUUGAGCAGCUGCCUGGAUUAGUUUCCUAUUGCUGCCAUAACAAAUUACCACAAAUUUAGUAGCUUAGCACAAAACAAAAGGCUGGGCAUAGUGGUGCAUGCCUGUGAUUCCAGCACUUCAGGAGGCUGAGAUGGGAAGAUUGCUUGAGCUCAGGAGUUCAAGACCAGCCUGGCCAACAUGGACCCCUGGGAUUACAUGGAGCCCACACACAUAAUCCAAGAGUACCUCCCCAUCUCAAAGACCUUAACUUAGUCACACCUGCAGAGUCUCUUUUGCCAAGGCAGAUAACAGGUUUGUGGGAUUAGGGUGUGGACAUCUUUGGAGGGCUGCUCUUCUACUUACCACGCUGUCUUAGGAAAGGAAAAUAAUUUUGGAAUUUUGUCUUUUUCAUAGCUAGGGAGGGGAUAUGCUGAAGUUUUGUUUUUCCUUCCUGUAUUUGUGAUGGUUGAUAUGUGGCCAUCUAAACUAAGUCUGGGAUGUGUUUGUAUUGGCUGAAGUUCAUUGGCAGGCAGAAAAGGUUCAGAGACUGGCAGUGUGGAUGGGAGGAUGGCUCAGUUAAAGACCUUCACUCCUUGCUUAGUGGUUGCUCCUUCACUCCCUGCACACUGCCUGCUCCUAUCAGGCCCCACUCAGGGCACAAACAAGCCCCUACUCUCCAGGAGAAAUUACUGAGCAGAUGCAUUCAAAAUGAACAACGGAAUGCCUUGUUUACUGUAGUCCCAUCCAGUAUGGCUUCCUUAUAGGAUUAUUUGUCUCCAAUUAUUUUACAUAUAUUUUUUUCUUUUUUGAGACAGAGUCUCACUCUGUCCCCCAGGCUGGAGUACAGCAGUGCUGUGAUCUUGGCUCACUGCAGCCUUGACCUCCAGAUUCAAGUGAUCCUCCCUUCUCAGCCUUGCCAUAGCUGUGACUAUAGGCAUGGACCACCACACCUGGCUAAUUUUUAAAGUUUUUUGUAGAAACAGGGUCUCACUGUGCUGCCCAGGCUGGCCUCAAACUCUUGGGCUUAAGUAUAUCCUCCCACUGUGGCCUCCCAGCGCUCUGAAAUUAUAGGCAUGAGCCACCAUGCUUGGCCUGUAUUUUAUUAAUUACAAUACUAAACAAUGCAAUGAGAAGGUGAAUAGAUAACCUUCUCAUGGCUGUGUAGCUGGCACAGUAGAAGACUUUAUGUGCUUUUCCUCAAACAGUGAGAGAAAGUGCUGGCAAAGCGCAUUUCCCUUGGCUUGAGAGACGUGACAAUCUACUUGUUGACUCUGCCAAGGCCUCUCUUUCCACCAUUUUCCGUGUUCUGGUCUAGAGUUGUGACAUUCAGUGGCUGACAAAAGGCACACAAGGGAUAGCGUUGGUGGCCAAUCUGCCAGGGAAGAGUCUGACCCUGGGUGCUAACAUGACUCAAGGUAGAUGAGCCCCUAUGAGGAGCUAGUCAAGGAAACAGAUGAGAAAGCCUGACUGUCAGUGAGCGAGCAGGGAGUGAGCAUGUCCUUUCUGAAGGGAGUUAUGACUGUCCUAACUUAACUAUGUUGCUGGGAAGGGAGGGGUCAGUAGUUGAAACAGAGUCUUCUGUGGGUGAUGAUAUGUUACAGCUUUAGGACAGUCGUCAGCAAAUGACUUGUCCUUGGGCCUAAUUUGUCCCCAGACCUUUGUUCCCUUGAGCCUCAGGAUGGUUUCUGCAUUUUGGAAUGGUUGAAAACUUCAAAAGAGAAGCUGUAUUUCGUGACAUGUGAAAUUUAUGUGAAAUCCAAAUUUCAGUGCCUGUAUAUCAAGUUUUAUUGAAACACAGCCACAUCAUUUGUUUAUGAAUUAUCUGUGGCUUUUUUUUUGAGCUACCACGGAGGAGUUGAGUGGUGGUGACAGAGACUGUCCGUAUGACCGGUGAAGCCUAAAAUAUUUACUAACUGGCUUUCUACAGAGAAGUUUGCAGCUUCUGUUUCAGGAGAUUUAAAAGAGACUGAAAAAGCAUCGGCAAAUGUCCUUGUUGGGACAAUAUUUCCAUAGGAACCAAGACCCAGUGAUUCCAUGUGGUGUAGAUUCAUUUCCAGGAACCCAAGGAGGGUCUAACUGGGGAGGGGGCAUACAAGAUAAAUUAGAAACCAGUGUACAUUCCUGUUCUGCAAAAAAUACACAAGACCUGCCAUUCACCCCUCAGAGAAUAUGGUUCCUUCACUGAGGGGUCACAUAAUUUCUGCCAGUACAUUGUUGAUGAUAUUUUUGUUUGUUUUUUAAAUAAAAAACAGGCAUAUUGAGCUGCUGGAAGUGUUGAGCUGGGUGUUCUGAAAUAUCCCACUAGGAUAUUCUACUUGCUGGCUGGCUACCUCCGUCUCAGAUGCAGUGUCCAAAUGGCUGUCAUUUCUGCAGGACCCACUUUGUGCCAGGCAUUGGGCCAGUGCUUUGGGCACACGAGUUGCUCACACUGGCAGCACUGCUGUAAAAUCAUUGUUAUUCUCACGCCGCAUGUGAAGAAAGGAGCUUAUGCCGGGUAAACCCGUGCCUGGGGCUCCCCUGUAAGUGGGAAUCCCGAGUAGCAGGUUAGGCUGUCUCUCCUUCACAGACCACGCUCUUUUCACAAGACCUGGAAGGAGCAAGACAACCACCUGGGGAGCUGCUUACUUCUGAUCUUUUCUCUGGGAUGCCAGAGCUAUCAACCUCAUAGGCAAGAUGCUCUAAUCACCGAGUUACCGUGUUCUGGGAUAAUAUCAACUUCCAUUUUAUAGUUUCUUCUAGCACUUUCCAUCCUGUAUGCUAUAUUUGUAAAAGGCCUGUGAAAAGCAUAAGGCAGACAUAAUCCAUCUUUGCUUUGUAAAUGAGGAAACUAAAGCUCAGAGGCCUGUCUAGGCUCAACCAGCUUUUAGGGGCAGAGCCAGACCUCCUGACCUGGGCUCUGGUGCCUAUACACUACUUCCCAUGGGCCAGGCCUUCAGGAAUGGAGCUGCAUCAUGCACACUUACCGUAAAAGAGCCUGUGAUAGACCCUCAGCAGUAUGGUUAUUAAGUUUAUCCUCAGUGAACCUCAGGUCAUCAGCUGACCUCCAGAGACCAAUUUCAUGUUGGAGAUGUGUUUUUUGGUAUUACUUUACAAUUGUGACUCUGCUGAAUACAGUGUAGCUUUCUCUUCCCUAUCACACAUCCAUUGCUUGAGUUUCAGUCCUAUCUUAGUCCAUUUUGUGUUGCUAUAAAGGAAUACCUGACACUGGGCAUAAAGAAAAGAGAGUUUGUAAAGAAGAGAGGGUUCUUUAGCUCGCAGUUCUGCAGGCUGUACGACAAGCAUGGCCCUGGCAUGAACAUGGCAGAGAAGGUCAAAGGAGAAGUGAGGCCACGUGAAGAGAUACCAUACCCAGAGGGCUUCCUGGCUUUACGUAAUAAUAACUCAAUCUAAUCCCAUCUUGCCAGAGUGAGAAUAGCAGCACAGCACUAAAUCAUUCCUGCGGGAUCUACCCCCAUAGCUCAAACACCUUCCCCUAGGCCCCACCUUCUGAUACCACAGUGGGGAGUGAAUUUCAACAUAUUUGUGGAGACAAACAAAAAAAAAAAUAAACCAUAUCUAAACCAUAGAAAGCCCCGAACCAAAAGCAGAUCCCCAUUCAUGGUUCCGCUUCCCACAUGGUUCCAAAUGAGGAAGGCCAGAAUUUAUGUGUUCUGCUCAGAAAAAGGCUGAAAGUUUCUGAGAAACACAUCUUCAAAGGUUUGUCUCCUUUGGCACAUGGGAAUAUGUUAUUAAUCAGGACAGCAGCUUAUAGCUGCCGAGGGAUAUAUUGAAACAGCUCAUUAUAAGCAAAUUUUAAGUAGUAGAGAGGAUCAUUCCUGGGCACAUUUCAUAAGCAUUCUGUCUUGGUUUUACCCCAAUCUCUGCAUAUUCCUUUUUAGUCUUCAUUCCUGGGGCAGCUUCCUCUGGCCACCCCAUGAAACCUUGGCCCCUUCUCUUCCAUAUGCUGUCCAGGAGCCAUCUCCUCCUCUCUGCAUGCUGAGUUGAAGAUCCCAAGUUGCUAUCCUCGCUCCAAACUCCAAAUGCCUAUAUCCAGCUACCAAAAAGGCAUCUCUGAAUCUUCCUCACUUACCGCAAACAUAACAGGUAGGACACAGCUUCUUGCUUGUCCUCUGAGCUUCAGUGCUUGGUGUGGCAUCCUUCACACGGUUAGUGUCUAGGGCACAACCUGAACCUGAUUCUCCUUGAGAGGCACUAUCACUUGCCACUUGAUGCCAUAUGAAAAUGACGUGCCAUGUGAAUCCAAUGCCACGUUAAAAAAAAUUACAUUUUCUGUUUGUCUCCCUAGGAUAUUGUCAAUGCUUGGCACCAAGUGGGUGAUAAAUAAAUGUGAAGGACAGACCUGUGGAUUAAGCAUUCCUGAGACAUAGCCUGUUAUCUUUCUCAGAUGAGAUUCUGUGCCAUGUGGCUUAUCCUUAUAUUGGGUGGAUCAUGUAACUCUGAGGUUCAAAAAUUGGUUAUUGCUUCUAAACCUUGUAAAGUUACUUAUCUCAGGAACUAUUGAGCUUGGCAGUUGUCCACAUCAUGUGACAGUUCUGCUAUCACGUUCCCUUCCUUGCUUUCUUCCUCCCUCUCUCCCCAUCUUGCACAUUCCUAUCUGUGAGAGAAGAUGAGGAAAAACAGACAAGCAGACAAAUCCAUAUUUCUCUCACCAAUGAAAAAUAGCUUUUCCAUUCUGUUUUACCAUUGAAUGUGGUAUUUGCCCUCUGUGUCUCAAUUAAAACAGAUUAUUUGCUGCUUUGUUUCUUCCUUUUUUAAUCUUUUUCUUGUUUUAGAAAUGGUUCAUGUUAAUUAGAAAAGAAAAAUUCAGAAAUUAUAGAUAAGCCCGAAGGAAGAAAGAAAAUAUGUAACAACCUCCUGCUCAGAGAGUUUUAACUUUUGAAGUACCUACUUCUCUCUAUAUUUUUUUCUAUGUACAUAUUUUAACAGAAAUAGACAAUGUGUUUGCUGUGGGGAAACUUCUUUUCACUUAAUAGAUUGCGAAUAUUUUCUGUGACAGACAGUAUUCCUCUAGACCAGCGAUUGGAUGACUUUGUUUAAAGGGCUGCAUGGUUCUGUGGGACCUACUGUCUCAACUAAUCAACUCUGCUGUUAUAAUGCAGAAGCAGUCACAGAAAGUGUGUAAAUGAAUGGGCAUGCCUGUGUUCUAGUAAAAUUUUACAAAAACAGGCAACGAGCCACAUUUGGCCCAUGGGCUGGGCUAUAGUUUGGUUAUGCUUGUCUAGAGUUUAUUUAUUUAUUUAUUUAUUUUGAGACAGAGCCUUGCUCUGUCGCCCAGGCUGGAGUGCAGUGGCAUCAUCUGGGCUCACUGCAAUGUCCACCUCCUAGGUUCAAGUGAUUCUCCUGCCUUAGCCUCCUGAGUAGCUGGGACUGUAGGUCUGUACCACCAUGCUCAGCUACUUUAUUUGUAUUUUUAGAAUAGACAGAGUUUCGCCAUGUUGGCCAGGCUGGUCUCAAACUCCUGACCUCAGAUGAUCCUCCUGCCUCGGCCUCCCCAAGUGCUGGGAUUGCAGGUAUGAGCAACUGUGCCCCAUUAGAAUAUCAUCUUUAAUGCCUAAAUAGUGUUCUGUUUUUCUGAUAUUUUAUUAUUUACUAGACCAGUCUGAGUACUAGUUCACGUUGUUUGAGGCCUUACUGUGUGCUUGCAGCAUGGCUGGGUUUGUCUGCUUGCAUGCUCACUUACACCUGCACACAGCCCUGUGCAGUGUGGGUAUUAUUCUUUCCAUUUAACAGAGGAGGGAACUCAGAUAAAGAACAGGUAGGUAAUUUGCCCAGCAUUAGAUGGUUAGUAAAUAGAAACGUCAAAAUUUAAGUUUGUUUGAUUUUUAGAAGCCAGGCUCUUAACUACUCAUUGUGUUUAUAGGCACACUAGUAGCUAUUUGCUUGGAUAGAUUUCUAGAAUUAGAAUAAUGGGUGCAUUUUAAGGUUCUGGUAUUUGUUGUCAGGUUGAUAUAUAUGGCCAAGUCAUAUUUGUCGCAUGGUAUAAGGCAGGGCUGUGUUUCUACACCCUCAUCUAUAACAUGGACUCUCUUGACCCUUCGGUACUUUAAUACGGGAAACAAACUUCAUCGUUUUUAUCUUAUGCAUAUUUCUCCUCUAUAUUUCUUCUAAGGUGAGUGUCUCAUCCACGUUCUUUCCACGUUGUUCUAUAAGAGCGUUUUGUCUUCUCUAUUAAUUUCUUGGAGGCUUUUAUGUAAGGGACUUCUGUGGUAUAUCAGUCAAUGCUACAUAAUGUGUUAUGAACCUGGCCUUUUACUUUAAAGAAAUGUCUUUACAAUUGAAGAGAAUUAAACAGAAAAGUAUUUCUCUUUAACACAGCAUAGCUACACUCCUGGAAUUGAAAGAAUUCCCAGAAACGAUAAGGUUUAAGAGACAGCUUAUUCCUGUUGAGGAACUCGUCCCUUUAGUUUCCAUCUUUUAAGUACUAGAAUUUGUGUUCUUUAAUUGGAACUAUUACUUUGCUGUGGCCAUGGCAACACAUCUUAACUGCCAUGAACAGCACACACUUUGACAAAAUAUGUUUUUAGAGAAGCUUUUAGAUGGAAUUCAUUAUCCAAUGUAUUCAUGGCGUCUAGAUGAAUUAAUGGAUUGUAGACCCAUACUUUUAUAGUAAUAGUAAUAAUAGUGAAAUGAACAGUUACUAUCUAUGAUCCCUUACUGUAUUCCAGCCACGGUGCUGUGUUUCAUAUUAUUUCAUUUGAUCUUCAUGAUAAUCUUGUGUCGUAGAUAUUGUCGUUAUCCCUACUUUAUACAUAAAGAAAUUAACAGAAAAGUUAAGUGGCUUGCUCUGGCUUAUACAGCUGAUAAGUAGUUGGGUUUCACCUUGACCUUAAGCUUGAUUUUUCUACUGACUGAGUCUGACAGGUUUCUUACAGCCUUUAAGAUAUAUACUGAAAUCAACACUGGUAGCAUGGAUGGAAAAUCUUGAGGUCACUUAGAGUCCAAGAUGACACUGGCAUCAAUGGGUCACAGUGAAUCUGACCCAGAAUUUCGUAACUCAUUAUUAUGAAGAUCAGAGUUCUGAAGCUUAUUGGAUUAGAAGAGCACAAAGGGUGUCUGCCCCGAUAUAUUCUUUUUCUUUGUUUUUAAUAUAUAUAUGUUUACUGCACUUUAGGUUCUGGCGUACGUGUGCAGAACAUGCAGGAUUGUUGCUAGGUACAUACAUGGCAAUGUGGUUUGCUGCCUCCAUCCCCAUCACCUAUAUAUGGCAUUACUCCCCAUGUUAUCCCUCCCCAAUUCCCUACCCCUCACUGUACCUCCUCCAGGCGCCCCCCAACAGACCCCAGUGUGUGAUGCUCCCCUCCCUGUGUCCAUGUGUUCUCAUUGUUCAACUCCCACCUAUGAGUGAGAACAUGCGGUGUUUGAUUUUCUGUUCUUGUGUCAGUUUGCUGAGAAUGAUGGUUUCCAGAUUCAUCCAUGUCCCUACAAAGGAUAUGAACUCAUUGUUUUUUAUGGCUGCAUUUUAUUCCAUGGUGCUUGAGUACCAUCAAAUUGGUAGUGUCUCUGAUAGGGAAAAGGAAGAGUUGGAAGGCAUCUUAGGCUCUAGGACAGAAGAACUGUUUUUAUUGGCUACCAAAGUUACCCCCAGUUGCCUGCAAAUUUAUAUCCAAACUCAUCCUGCCAAUUCAGAGUUCUACAGACUGACCCCAAACUAUAGUUUAGUCUUUUAUCACAUGACUGCACUGUACACACUCAGUUCUCUGGGCAAACAGACCUGAUCCAAACACAGUUUAUACUUUUCCUUUUCUUUCCUUUGUGUCUUGGAGUGUCUUUGAUUUCUCCAACCCCAGUCUCCCUCUGUUAGAAUUCUGGACCUCUCUCAAUACCAAGGUUAAGUACUACCUAACAAAGAAGUUUUGAUGCUUAUAGACAAAAGCAAUUUCUCUCCUCUUAUUUGAUUUUUAUGGUUAUUUAUAGCACUCUCAGGUCAAUCAUAACCUUCUUACUUGUAGGAUAGCUUUUUAUACAGUUGUCUUUUUCCUCCCGUUCUAUUGGAAGGCCCUUGAGAAGUGAGAUCUACUUCAUUUUCAUAUUCCCUGUAGGACUUGCAUGAUUCCUCGAAUACAGCAUUUUUCCACAGGUAAACGGUGACAUGCCUUAAUCUUAUUCUUAGGGAUUCUGACUCUGAAAGACGUGAAACCACUGUUCAGAGUCUCGUUGUGGAUUGAAUUUUGUCCCCCUGCACACAGUCUAUAUGUUGACAUCCUAUCCCCCCGUGUCUCAGAAUGUGACAUUGUUUUGAAAUACAGUUGUUGCAGAUGUGAUUAGUAAAGAUGAUAUCAUGCCGAAGCAGGGUGGACUCCUCCUCCAGUUUGACUGGUGUCACGCUGGAAAUUUGGGCACACACAGGGAGAACAGGGAUGCUGCCACAAGCCAAGGAACUGGCAGAAGGUAGAAGAGAGGCCCGAACGGACCCUUCCCCAGAGCCUUCAGAGUGGGCAUGGGCCUGCCAAUGCCCAGAUCCCAGCUUCUACCCUCCAGAGUGUGGGCCAACACAGUUCUAUUGCUUAUGCCACUCAGUUGGUGGUGCUUUGUUACAGUGGCCCCAGGAGAGUACCACAAGCCUGGGAAUCACCGUCCUUGCAACUAGCAAGAUGGUAUGUUUUAGAUGACCCUGUCCUAUGUGGGACUGGGGGCUGAGGCAGGGUGGCCUGAUAACAGAGUCACCAAAGAGCCAUCUCUUAUCUGUAUGCCUGAGUAGUCAAGGCCUUCUCGUCUUCAGCACCAGCAAUUCAGCAUUUCAAAAUGGAAUGCCCCGUCUUUCCUCUCCAAACCCCUUCUCCCUCAUAGGCCCAUCUAAACUAUUGUUAUGGUGUUCCUCUCAGUCCCUCUAUAAUUCUUCCCUUUUCUCAUCCCCAAUUAAAAAAAAAAUCUGGAAUUAUGCCUUCUUCUGGAUAGAUAAGAUCUGGCAGCACCAGGCCCUUGUUACUGCAUGGCCAUAAUUGGCAAGACUGAUGGGCUGGCCCUGAACAUAGAGGAUGUGUCCUCGGUCCUGCUUGACGUCACAUGCCAGACCCUGUGGGCAUUGGAGCCUGGCCCCUGGCAGGGUGGAAGUGAUUGCCUCUCUCUCAGAGGAACAUAAGUGGAAAGCCUAAGAUCAUUCUUGAGUCAAGCUGCCCAGUUUAUGUCCUGCUGUGUCACUUACUGGCUGAGGGCAGCCACGGGGAGAUUCCUUAAUCUCCCUGGGCUUCCGUUUCCUAUUCUGCAAAUGGAGAUAAUAAUGGUGCUCACCUCAUAGGGGUGUUGAGAGAAUGAAAUGAUUUAAUGCGUAUCAGGAGAUUAGACCCUGACGCACAGCAGUUGCACCAGGAAUGUUCACUUGUAUUCUUAUGUAGUCAAAAAAUCCUGUCACCCUUUAUCUAAACUGCUUUAUUAUUUUUCCCAAAGCAGAGCAUAUUUACUUCUUGUGUUUUUGUUUCUCUCCAUCAGGCACCAGCUUCAUACACAUUAAGAAAAUGUGGCUGUAAUUUAUACACAGAGAUUCAGAGCUGGGCUAGCAGGGAGUCUGGACAAAGCUCCCAGGAUCUCACUUGGUGGAGCUCCUGGGCCUCUCCUGGCUGCCGAGUGCUUUCUACCUUCUGUGUUAUUUCAGUUCCAGUGACCAAGGGCACAGCUUGGUGACUGGCCUCCCGAGGCCUUCCGAGUCGCCAGGGGAUCCCUCUAAUUAGGUACAGUGUUGAGCAUGCAGGUAUUUAUCCUGCAGUCAAGAAGGGCUGCUGGAACAGCUGCUUACCAUGAAAUCCAGGGAGCAAGUCAGGUGUUAGUUAGAAGCAUGUUCCUUGUGAUCUGAGACGCUGACAAACCCCAGACAAGCCGACAGUGAGGACCUCCACACACCAGUUGUUUCCCCCAGUUGUAUUCCCCUUACUGGGCCACUCCUAAGCAGUGCUGAAGACUUCUUUAGCUAAUAUUUGUUGACUGAGUUUUUAUUGAUCAAAAGAAAUUUAUUAAGUAAAUAGAGCAUCGUUCAGACAUGAUGGCAUCAGAUCCAUUUCUUCCUGGGCAUCAGAUCCAUUAGUAGAUGUCAGUGAUAAAUGAAGUGCUAGGACACAGUCCUGCCUGUAAGAGGUGUGUAGUCUAGUCAUUGGGAGAGACCUCUGACCAGCAAUGGGUGGAGCUGGGGGAACACAGGUGUUAUUUAUGGGAUCCGGGAAAGGCAAGAUCUUGACUCAGCCUGAGGCUGGGAAAACUGAAACCUAAAUAAACAGGACAUAUUUUCACUUUUCCUGGCUAAAUGACUCUCUGGUUUUAAUUUCCUCAUCUGUAAAAAGAACUUAUGGUUGGGAGGCUGAGGCAGGCGGAUCAUGAAGUCAAGAGUUCAAGAGCAGCCUGGCCAACAUGGUGAAACCCCGUUUCUACUAAAAAUACAAAAAUUAGCUGUGGCACAUGCCUGUAAUCUCAGCUAUUAGGGAGGCUGAGGCAGGAGAAUUGCUUGAAUUCUACUGGGGAAUCAUCAGUUUUGCCAUUAUUGAUCUAAUAUCUAGUAAAAUUGGGCAUUUUCAGGACAGGGACUGUGACUGUCUUUUCAUUGCUCUAUGUCUGGACCUAGCCUAGUGGUUGACAUAUAACAGAGGGUCAAUAAACAUUUGAUGAGUAAGGGAAUUAAGUGAUAUCUAAGCUGAGAACUGAAGGAUGAGGAGUCUGCCAGUAGGAAAGUGUAGGAGGUAGGGGGUGGCAGUAGGAAGUAAAAUGGUGAUGAAGGAUGACACUGGGAGGGAGGAGCAUGUGCUCCUUGGGGGUGACAAGAAUUGCAGUUCUGGGAAAUGUUAGCUCAUAUGGUGGGUGUCAUGGAGCCAUUUCAAGGUGGGGGCCUGGGCAGAGCUGAAUGGUGAGAAAAACAGAGUUCGUAGUUUUUAACGUGAUGAAGUUUGAUAUGAUUGGUCUGAGUUGCAGGAAAUGGAUUAGAGAGGACAGAGUGGAAGAGGAGAGGCCAUUCGAUGGCUACUGCAGUGUUAGACAUAGUGAACUCCACAUUUCUCUUCAAAGAAUCUGGAUGUCAGUAUGUUCGGUUCUUUGUCCUCCAUUUUAAAGUUUAACUUCCUUGUAGUUUCAGUAAACAACAUUUUCCACCAGUUCUAAUCAGUAGUUCACAUCCAUUCCCCCAGUCCCCUGCUUCGUCCUGACUCAUCCCAGUCACCUGCUUCGGUCACCUGCCUUGACUUAGGUCACCCCUGGCUACCUGCUCUGACCUGUCCCAUAACCGUCCUUCCCACCAAACUACCCACCCCACCACUCUGGCUCAAACCCCUGCUUCCCUUAAAACAGCCAACUGGAAUUAUACUAGACUGUAGGUAAGGUCUAAUGCUAGCCAAUAGGGAAACGACACAGCAGUAGGGGCUACCUCUGUGAGGAAUCAGAACGCCCUCCCCCUCCCUUGUUCAGGCGUGCACUUGCCAGUUUCAUCUGUCAACCGUACCCUUCUAUAGAAGUAAAUUGCCUUGCUGAGGAAAUUUAUAUUCCAGUGCUACUUCUUUUGCAGCACUGAAUAUUUACAUACAACAGCAGCAAUUUUGAUGAGAGAUGGUGGUAGCAGGACAAAUUAUCCCUGAGAUGGAGAGGUGGCUAGAUUCAGAAGCAACUAGAUAUGCAGAAUUGUCAGAACCUGGCAAUUAAAUGUCUAUGGGGAAGGAAGGAGAGAUGUCUGAAUGAUGCCCAGGCCUCCAGGGGAUGUAGACACCACUUAGUCAUGUGGUAAAUCAGAUGAGACAAGGAGCUGUGGGAAGGUUAAAUUCUCAUUUGUACAUGGUGAGUUCGAGAUGCCUGUGGGAAGUCCAGAGGGCAGUUGCUACAGCAGUCUUCACCUCGGGAGAGUGAUCAGGUUUGGGCACUCAUUGGCAUAGAGGGUCAGGGCUUCAUAGCCUAGAAGAACACAGAUAAAAUUAAGAAGCCUUAUAAAUUUCAGAAAGUAUAUUAAAAUCAUAAUGCAUGUGCAUUGUUCUGGAGAGAUAGCUUUGUAUCAACUUUUUAAAAUGCUCAUGUCGGCCGGGUGCGGUGGCUCACGCCUAUAAUCCCAGCACUUUGGGAGGCCGAGGCAGGUGGAUCACGAAGUCAAGACAUCGAGACCAUCCUGGUCAACAUGGUGAAACCCCGUCUCUACUAGAAAUACAAAAAAUUAGCUGGGCAUGGUGGCGCAUGCUGGUAAUCCCAGCUACUCAGGAGGCUGAGGCAGGGGAAUUGCCUGAACCCAGGAGGCGGAGGUUGCAGUGAGCCGAGAUUGCGCCAUUGCACUCCAGCCUGGGUAACAAGAGCGAAACUCUGUCUAAAAAAGAAAAAUGCUCAUGUCCUCAAACAGGUUAACCUUUGGUGCAUAUGGUUACUGAAGCCAGGAGAGAGGAGAUUUUUCAGGCAGUGAGAAGGGAAGAGAGCCAGGGAUUCUGCUGUGAAAAGCAUCAGCAUUUCAAGGGUUGGAGGCACUGUGCUGAGUCAGAGGCCGGGGGUCAGAGUAUUGGGAAUGAGAUAAAGACUUAUAGAUAGCAAUAGCUUUACUGCUCAUAAAGCA
Molecule: non-coding RNA, 16530 nt
Organism: Callithrix jacchus (white-tufted-ear marmoset)
Lineage: Eukaryota; Metazoa; Chordata; Mammalia; Primates; Cebidae
Source: RefSeq, a predicted model, not a curated record